This 254-nucleotide ribosomal RNA is filed under the name uncultured bacterium. RNAcentral describes it as "partial 16S ribosomal RNA". It matches the Rfam family "Bacterial small subunit ribosomal RNA", at positions 524 to 776 of the family's 1533-position model. The record is from RNAcentral.
GACGAAGGGGGCUAGCGUUGCUCGGAAUUACUGGGCGUAAAGCGCGUGUAGGCGGCUGUUCAAGUUGGGCGUGAAAGCCUUGGGCUUAACCCAAGAAAUGCGCUCAAUACUGGAUAGCUAGAGGACCGGAGAGGAUAGUGGAAUUCCCAGUGUAGUGGUGAAAUACGUAGAGAUUGGGAAGAACACCAGUGGCGAAGGCGGCUAUCUGGACGGUUUCUGACGCUAAGACGCGAAAGCGUGGGGGAGCAAACAGG